CUUUAUUCAGCUGGGAGCAUCGGCGGACUCACAUCUCCAAAAACCGAGCUCCCUGAGUGAGCAAUUCCUAUCCCUUUUAAGGGUUUAUGAUUCUAAGGGGGUCCGUGUGAGAGGGUCAUGAUCGAUUGAGCAAGCAGGGGAUAUGUGACUGGGGGCUGCAUGCACUGGUAAUCAGAAUGGAACAAAACAGGACAGGGAUUUUCACAGUGCUUUUCCAUACAAUGUCUGGAAUCUAUAGAUAACAGAACCAGUUAGGUCAGGGGUUGAUCUUUAACUACCAGGCCUGGAAUGCAGUGCCAGGCUAACUACUGAUUUCAUUUCUGUCUUUUCUUUAACUCCUACUUUUUCUUUGAGGCAGAAAUUGGGCAUAAGACAAUAUGAGGGGUGGUCUCCUCCCUUCUCAUAACAACCUUGUGAGGGAGGGUUCAUUUAUCAAAGAAGACACUGAGCACAGGAGGCCACCAUUUACCAGGGGCAAAGCCAGGAUCUGAACCCAGACGGCCCGGCUCCGGAGUCCAUGCUCCUGAGCACCACACAGUGCUGCUCCCUUGGAAAUUCAGAAAGGCUGGACCCCGUGCUCCAGGGCAGCAGGAGGAGGGCACAUGCCAAGGAUGUCACUGGAAAGGGAGCAGAGGUGAGGCUGUGAAGCCUUUAUACCCAAGAGAAACUCAGCUGGACACCAG
This 683-nucleotide long non-coding RNA is filed under the name Homo sapiens (human). RNAcentral's name for it is "HSALNT0012269". Lineage: Eukaryota; Metazoa; Chordata; Mammalia; Primates; Hominidae. The record is from RNAcentral.